AUUGAACGCUGGCGGCAGGCCUAACACAUGCAAGUCGAGCGGAUGAAGGGAGCUUGCUCCUGGAUUCAGCGGCGGACGGGUGAGUAAUGCCUAGGGAUCUGCCUGGUAGUGGGGGAUAACGUCCGGAAACGGGCGCUAAUACCGCAUACGUCCUGAGGGAGAAAGUGGGGGAUCUUCGGACCUCGCGCUAUCAGAUGAGCCUAGGUCGGAUUAGCUAGUUGGUGGGGUAAAGGCCUACCAAGGCGACGAUCCGUAACUGGUCUGAGAGGAUGAUCAGUCACACUGGAACUGAGACACGGUCCAGACUCCUACGGGAGGCAGCAGUGGGGAAUAUUGGACAAUGGGCGAAAGCCUGAUCCAGCCAUGCCGCGUGUGUGAAGAAGGUCUUCGGAUUGUAAAGCACUUUAAGUUGGGAGGAAGGGCAGUAAGUUAAUACCUUGCUGUUUUGACGUUACCAACAGAAUAAGCACCGGCUAACUUCGUG
This 484-nucleotide ribosomal RNA is filed under the name uncultured bacterium. Its description in RNAcentral is "partial 16S ribosomal RNA". It matches the Rfam family "Bacterial small subunit ribosomal RNA", at positions 30 to 507 of the family's 1533-position model. The record is from RNAcentral.